This 1349-nucleotide ribosomal RNA is filed under the name Lactiplantibacillus plantarum. RNAcentral's name for it is "bacterial SSU rRNA". It matches the Rfam family "Bacterial small subunit ribosomal RNA", at positions 42 to 1357 of the family's 1533-position model. Lineage: Bacteria; Bacillati; Bacillota; Bacilli; Lactobacillales; Lactobacillaceae. The record is from RNAcentral.
GCGGUGCCUAUACAUGCAAGUCGAACGAACUCUGGUAUUGAUUGGUGCUUGCAUCAUGAUUUACAUUUGAGUGAGUGGCGAACUGGUGAGUAACACGUGGGAAACCUGCCCAGAAGCGGGGGAUAACACCUGGAAACAGAUGCUAAUACCGCAUAACAACUUGGACCGCAUGGUCCGAGUUUGAAAGAUGGCUUCGGCUAUCACUUUUGGAUGGUCCCGCGGCGUAUUAGCUAGAUGGUGGGGUAACGGCUCACCAUGGCAAUGAUACGUAGCCGACCUGAGAGGGUAAUCGGCCACAUUGGGACUGAGACACGGCCCAAACUCCUACGGGAGGCAGCAGUAGGGAAUCUUCCACAAUGGACGAAAGUCUGAUGGAGCAACGCCGCGUGAGUGAAGAAGGGUUUCGGCUCGUAAAACUCUGUUGUUAAAGAAGAACAUAUCUGAGAGUAACUGUUCAGGUAUUGACGGUAUUUAACCAGAAAGCCACGGCUAACUACGUGCCAGCAGCCGCGGUAAUACGUAGGUGGCAAGCGUUGUCCGGAUUUAUUGGGCGUAAAGCGAGCGCAGGCGGUUUUUUAAGUCUGAUGUGAAAGCCUUCGGCUCAACCGAAGAAGUGCAUCGGAAACUGGGAAACUUGAGUGCAGAAGAGGACAGUGGAACUCCAUGUGUAGCGGUGAAAUGCGUAGAUAUAUGGAAGAACACCAGUGGCGAAGGCGGCUGUCUGGUCUGUAACUGACGCUGAGGCUCGAAAGUAUGGGUAGCAAACAGGAUUAGAUACCCUGGUAGUCCAUACCGUAAACGAUGAAUGCUAAGUGUUGGAGGGUUUCCGCCCUUCAGUGCUGCAGCUAACGCAUUAAGCAUUCCGCCUGGGGAGUACGGCCGCAAGGCUGAAACUCAAAGGAAUUGACGGGGGCCCGCACAAGCGGUGGAGCAUGUGGUUUAAUUCGAAGCUACGCGAAGAACCUUACCAGGUCUUGACAUACUAUGCAAAUCUAAGAGAUUAGACGUUCCCUUCGGGGACAUGGAUACAGGUGGUGCAUGGUUGUCGUCAGCUCGUGUCGUGAGAUGUUGGGUUAAGUCCCGCAACGAGCGCAACCCUUAUUAUCAGUUGCCAGCAUUAAGUUGGGCACUCUGGUGAGACUGCCGGUGACAAACCGGAGGAAGGUGGGGAUGACGUCAAAUCAUCAUGCCCCUUAUGACCUGGGCUACACACGUGCUACAAUGGAUGGUACAACGAGUUGCGAACUCGCGAGAGUAAGCUAAUCUCUUAAAGCCAUUCUCAGUUCGGAUUGUAGGCUGCAACUCGCCUACAUGAAGUCGGAAUCGCUAGUAAUCGCGGAUCAGCAGCC